CCGUCUAUAUACGUAUAGCAUAUCAAUAAGCGGAGGAAAAGAAACUAACUAGGAUUCCCUUAGUAACGGCGAGUGAAGCGGGAAGAGCUCAAAUUUGAAAUCUUCAAGGUUCUACCUUGACGAAUUGUAGUUUAAAGAAGUGUUUUCUGUUGGAGUUUUGGUAAAAGUUCCUUGGAAUAGGACAUCAUAGAGGGUGAGAAUCCCGUAUUUGACCAUUAUCUUCCAACUGUGUGAUACACUUUCAAAGAGUCGGAUUGUUUGGGAAUGCAGUCCAAAAUGGGUGGUAAAUUUCAUCUAAAGCUAAAUACUGGCGAGAGACCGAUAGCGAACAAGUACCGUGAGGGAAAGAUGAAAAGAACUUUGAAAAGAGAGUUAAACAGUACGUGAAAUUGUCAAAAGGGAAGCGUUUGACACCAGUGUUGUUUUCUCGAAAAUCAAUUAAAAAUGGCAGGAUUUUGUGUUGUAUUGACUUUAUCAGCUUCUGCACUUUUUUCUUGUCUUUUUUAAUGCACUUUUCGUUUAACAAGUCAACAUCAAUUUCUUUUGCUGUAAAAGGGUCAUUGGAAGGUGGCUUUCUUUUCGGAGAAAGUGUUUAUAGCCUUUGACUUCUGCAAUCGGAGAGAUUGAGGUCUGCAGCGUAGAUCCUUCGGGGUUAGAUGCAUUUGUGCUAAGUUAUAGCUUUUCAUAGACAACAUGUUGACUAUGAUUAAGUCAUGUAGCUUACUCGCUUAUGCUAUUUUACCUACGCUUAGGAUGUUGACGAUCAGCUGAGCGCG
Molecule: ribosomal RNA, 776 nt
Filed under: uncultured Neocallimastigales
Lineage: Eukaryota; Fungi; Neocallimastigomycota; Neocallimastigomycetes; Neocallimastigales
Description: partial large subunit ribosomal RNA
Rfam family: Eukaryotic large subunit ribosomal RNA
Source: RNAcentral